Molecule: ribosomal RNA, 450 nt
Filed under: uncultured bacterium
Lineage: Bacteria
Description: partial 16S ribosomal RNA
Rfam family: Bacterial small subunit ribosomal RNA
Source: RNAcentral
AGCGAACAUUGGCGGUAGGCUUAACACAUGCAAGUCGAGCGAGGCGUAAUAGUCGAGCGGCGAACGGGUGCGUAAUACAUGGGAAUCUACCCUGAAGUGGGGGAUAACGUUCAGAAAUGGACGCUAAUACCGCAUAAUCCACAUUGGGAAAGCGUUGCAGCGCUUUAGGAUGAGCCCAUGGCUGAUUAGCUAGUUGGUGAGGUAAUGGCUCACCAAGGCGACGAUCAGUAGCUGGUCUGAGAGGAUGACCAGCCACAUUGGAACUGAGACUCGGUCCAGACUCCUACGGGAGGCAGCAGUGGGGAAUCUUGCGCAAUGGGGGCAACCCUGACGCAGCCAUACCGCGUGAGUGAUGAAGGUCUUCGGAUUGUAAAGCUCUUUCGGCGGGGACGACGAUGACGGUACCCGCAAAAGAAGUCACGGCUAACUUCGUGCCAGCCGCCGCCAUAA